GCCAGGCGUGGUGGCACAUGCCUGUAGUUCCAACUAUUCAGGUGGCUGAGGCUGGAGGAUCUCCUGAGCCUAGGAGUUCUGGGCUGUAGUGCACUAUGCCGAUCGGGUGUCCGCACUAAGUUCGGCAUCAAUAUGGUGACCUCCCGAGAGCGGGGGACUACCAGGUUGCCUAAAGAGGGGUGAACCAGCACAGGUCGGAAAUGGAGCAGGUCAAAACUCCCGUGCUGAUCAGUAGUGGGAUUGUGCCUGUGAAUAGCCACUGCACUCCAGCCUGGGCAACAUAGCGAGACCCUGUCUCUU
This is an unclassified non-coding RNA of Callithrix jacchus (white-tufted-ear marmoset), 300 nucleotides long. It matches the Rfam family "Metazoan signal recognition particle RNA". From Rfam's summary of the family: The signal recognition particle (SRP) is a universally conserved ribonucleoprotein. It is involved in the co-translational targeting of proteins to membranes. The eukaryotic SRP consists of a 300-nucleotide 7S RNA and six proteins: SRPs 72, 68, 54, 19, 14, and 9. The record is from Ensembl. NCBI's taxonomy places the organism in Eukaryota, Metazoa, Chordata, Mammalia, Primates, Cebidae.